UGCAACCUACCUUGUACAGGGGUAUAGCUCGGGGAAACUCGAAUUAACCCCCCAUAAUAUCAUGGUGUGGCAUCACAUUAUGAUUAAAACUUCGGUGGUACAAGAUGGGCAUGCGUUUGAUUAGUUAGUUGGCAGUGUAACGGACUACCAAGACGAUGAUCAAUAGGGGACCUGAGAGGGUGAUCC
Molecule: ribosomal RNA, 186 nt
Filed under: uncultured Bacteroidota bacterium
Lineage: Bacteria; Pseudomonadati; Bacteroidota
Description: uncultured Bacteroidetes bacterium partial 16S ribosomal RNA
Rfam family: Bacterial small subunit ribosomal RNA
Source: RNAcentral